GACGAACCGUGCAAACGUUAUUCGGAAUCACUGGGCUUAAAGGGUGCGUAGGCUGUGAGAAGGGUGGGGUGUGAAAUCCCUCGGCUUAACCGAGGAAUUGCGCUCCAAACCGCCUCACUGGAGUGAGACAGAGGUGAGCGGAACUGAUGGUGGAGCGGUGAAAUGCGUUGAUAUCAUCAGGAACACCAGAGGCGAAGGCGGCUCACUGGGUCUCAACUGACGCUGAUGCACGAAAGCUAGGGUAGCGAACGGG
RNAcentral lists this unclassified non-coding RNA (253 nucleotides) under uncultured Pirellulaceae bacterium. Its description in RNAcentral is "contains 16S-23S intergenic spacer region". It matches the Rfam family "Bacterial small subunit ribosomal RNA", at positions 524 to 776 of the family's 1533-position model. Lineage: Bacteria; Pseudomonadati; Planctomycetota; Planctomycetia; Pirellulales; Pirellulaceae. The record is from RNAcentral.